GAUGAACGCUGGCGGCGUGCUUAACACAUGCAAGUCGAACGGAAAGGCUCCUGCUUGCCGGGGUACUCGAGUGGCGAACGGGUGAGUAACACGUGGGUGAUCUGCCCUGAACUUAGGGAUAAGCCUGGGAGACUGGGUCUCAUACCGGAUAGGACGAUGGUUUGGAUGCCAUUGUGGAAAGUUUUUUGGGGUGGGAUGAGCUCGCGGACUAUCAGCUUGUUGGUGGGAUAAUGGCCUACCAAGGCGUCGACGGGUAGGCGGCCAGUGAGGGUGUACGGCGACAUUGGGACUGAGAGACGGCCCAGGCACCGACGGGAGGCAACAGUGGGGAAUAUUGCACAAUGGGCGCAAGCCGGGUGCUGCGACGCCGCGUGUGGGAAGACGGCCUUCGGGUUGUAAACCCCUUUCGCUAGGAACGGAGCAUGUUGUGACGGUACCUGGAGAGGAAGCACCGGCUAACUACGUG
This 466-nucleotide ribosomal RNA is filed under the name uncultured bacterium. RNAcentral's name for it is "partial 16S ribosomal RNA". It matches the Rfam family "Bacterial small subunit ribosomal RNA", at positions 28 to 507 of the family's 1533-position model. The record is from RNAcentral.